This 143-nucleotide unclassified non-coding RNA is filed under the name soil metagenome. Its description in RNAcentral is "partial internal transcribed spacer 1". The record is from RNAcentral.
UAAUAAGUGUUUUAUGGCACUUUUUAAAUCCAUAUCCACCUUGUGUGCAAUGUCAGUCGAUCUUCUUCAUGGAGAUCGACCAAACAUCAACCUUUAUUUUUAACUCUUUGUCUGAAAAUAUUAUGAAUAAACAAUUCAAAAUA